GAUUGAGUUUGAUCCUGGCUCAGGACGAACGCUGGCGGCGUGCUUAACACAUGCAAGUCGAACGGUGACGAGGAGCUUGCUCCUCUGAUCAGUGGCGAACGGGUGAGUAACACGUGAGCAACCUGCCCCAGACUCUGGGAUAACAGUUGGAAACAGCUGCUAAUACCGGAUACGAGACGGAGAGGCAUCUCUACCGUCUGGAAAGUUUUUCGGUCUGGGAUGGACUCGCGGCCUAUCAGCUAGUUGGUGAGGUAAUGGCUCACCAAGGCGACGACGGGUAGCCGGCCUGAGAGGGCGACCGGCCACACUGGGACUGAGACACGGCCCAGACUCCUACGGGAGGCAGCAGUGGGGAAUAUUGCACAAUGGGCGAAAGCCUGAUGCAGCAACGCCGCGUGAGUGAUGAAGGCCUUCGGGUCGUAAAGCUCUUUGAUCAGGGAUGAUAAUGACAGUACCUGAAAAACAAGCCACGGCUAACUACGUGCCAGCAGCCGCGGUAAAU
RNAcentral lists this ribosomal RNA (502 nucleotides) under uncultured bacterium. Its description in RNAcentral is "bacterial SSU rRNA". It matches the Rfam family "Bacterial small subunit ribosomal RNA", at positions 1 to 525 of the family's 1533-position model. The record is from RNAcentral.